CGGGACUGCACGGCGGCGGCGGUGCCUGCAAGAGCUUCGCUGGGGGUCGCGGGCUGGGUCUGCGGGAGGCCGGCCGCCGAGAUCAGGGCUGGGUGAACUCAUGGACCUGAUACUUUUCUCUUGAGAAACAAACGAACUCAACAACAACAAAAAAAUGGCAUUUGUUGCAACACAGGGGGCCACGGUGGUUGACCAAACCACUCUGAUGAAAAAAUACCUUCAGUUUGUGGCAGCUCUCACGGAUGUAAAUACACCUGAUGAAACGAAGUUAAAAAUGAUGCAAGAAGUUAGUGAAAAUUUUGAGAAUGUAACGUCAUCUCCUCAAUAUUCUACGUUCCUGGAACAUAUCAUCCCUCGAUUUCUCACAUUUCUUCAAGACGGAGAAGUUCAGUUUCUCCAGGAGAAACCAGCCCAGCAACUGCGGAAGCUAGUACUCGAGAUAAUUCACAGGAUACCAACCAACGAACAUCUUCGUCCUCAUACAAAAAAUGUUCUAUCUGUGAUGUUUCGCUUUUUAGAGACGGAAAAUGAAGAGAAUGUUCUUAUUUGUCUAAGAAUAAUCAUUGAGCUCCACAAACAGUUCAGGCCGCCCAUCACA
Non-coding RNA from Leptonychotes weddellii (Weddell seal), 598 nucleotides. The record is from RefSeq and is a predicted model, not a curated record. NCBI's taxonomy places the organism in Eukaryota, Metazoa, Chordata, Mammalia, Carnivora, Phocidae.